This is a long non-coding RNA of Lycium barbarum (goji berry), 1457 nucleotides long. RefSeq lists it as uncharacterized. The record is from RefSeq and is a predicted model, not a curated record. The transcript has 2 exons. NCBI's taxonomy places the organism in Eukaryota, Viridiplantae, Streptophyta, Magnoliopsida, Solanales, Solanaceae.
AGACCCAACCCAACCCAACAUAACACCAUAUACGCACAUAACAAAACGAACAGAUCUCUAAGGUCUCAUUUAUUUGAAAGGCAGGGUUUUUCGGUGAAACCCUAGCCGCCACCACGAUACUCACUCUCUCUCAUCGUUAUCGGCCAGGAGAUGGCAUGAGUGCAGUGUAGUCUUUCUUUACGUAGGUCAUCCAUGGCCAUUUUGGGAAAAUCAAUAAAUGCAUUGCCCUCUUUCCACCGCAAUUCAACCAAACGAGGAUUGUGGAAUGGAUGGAAUAGUGGUUUAACUUUGAAAGAAAAGAAGAUCCCUGUGGUGGUGCAUACCCUCUGUCAAAAUGAGUGUUUUGUUUAGUCUUCUUGAAGCAUUGACUGCUUAGAAUCAAGAUUCUCUUUGUUAGAAUGCUUUACGUAAAGCUGAACUUUGAAUGAUUGUCAAUAAAUAUCCCCUGCUUCCUUUGACGCUCGUAUACUGGUUAGAUGGACAUAGUUUAUCGAAGUUUUAUGCUAUUUUCCCUCUUUUAAUGGAUAAAAAGAUGAAGUUUGACAUGUGUUCAUGUUUUUAUACAUAUAAGUGUUAUGACAGUCUUGGAGGGGUAAAAUAUAUUGGGUACACUGAUACAUAUUCUUUAUAUGGAUGCAUACACGUGUUAAAAUUGAUUUGAGAUGAAUGCUGCUUUUGUUUGCUCGAGAUUAUCUUCUCUUCUCUUUUUCCCUUUUGUGUGAUGUACUGUGAUGAGAGAUAUACAUCAGGUAUACUAGAUAUACACCAGGUAUACUAGAUAUGCAUCCCCCUUAUAUACCCAGUAUAUAUUGAGUUAUAUAUCAUGUAUGCCCAUGGUAUAUCAUGAUAUUUAUUGCGAACUGAACUGUUAUCCACUAAAUUGAGCCCAUCUCCUUAAUGCCACUAUUCUAAUAAUUGAUUUGGCCCUUGCCUUGCCUAUUCACAUGUAUUGUUUUCAUUUGGGCCUUUCUGAAUUUUCCUUUGCUGCGUCAUAUUAAUAUGUUGGGCCUGUAUCCCCUGCCAAUCAUGUCUUGGGCUUUCAUUGUGCUGUUUCUGUUUAGUGAAGUAUAUGAGAUUGUGCCUCGGUAUAUAUAGGGUCGUAUACAUAUCUGCUUAGACUACAUUUAAGAAUUAAUUUUUGUUUAAAUAGUUUGCUAAGUGUAGAUACUCUCUAACAAUCUUUCCCCUUUUCCCUUCUCCUUCUUCGCAUGAUACUCCGCGAUACGGUUCAUUUGGGUCGAAGCCACUGUUGGGCCAGAAGCCCAACACUCUCCUUCCAUCGAGUCCGAAAAAAUUGAAGGCCCAAUUAUGGGUGAAAAUGGCAACUGGUGGGCUCGGUAGGCCCACCAACUUAACUUUUCUCUUUUAUUUUCAUAUUUGUGUACAUGUAUAUAUACAGAAUGCUUGUAUAAAUAUUGAACCAAUAGUUAGAACUUAGUUGAAAUGAUUUUCAAAGA